This 962-nucleotide ribosomal RNA is filed under the name uncultured Neocallimastigales. Its description in RNAcentral is "partial large subunit ribosomal RNA". It matches the Rfam family "Eukaryotic large subunit ribosomal RNA", at positions 1 to 762 of the family's 3401-position model. The record is from RNAcentral. Lineage: Eukaryota; Fungi; Neocallimastigomycota; Neocallimastigomycetes; Neocallimastigales.
CGCAUCUGUGCAUGCAGCAUAUCAAUAAGCGGAGGAAAAGGCUGCGGAACUGAACGACCGCUACCUACGCUUAGGAUGUUGACACACGCGCGUGCUCGGCUCUAUACAUGACUCUGUGCAUAUCAAUAAGCGGAGGAAAAGAAACUAACAAGGAUUCCCUUAGUAACGGCGAGUGAAGCGGGAAGAGCUCAAGUUUGAAAUCUUCAAGGUUUUACCUUGACGAAUUGUAGUUUAAAGAAGUGUUUUCUGCUGAAGUUUUGGUAAAAGUUCUUUGGAAUAGGACAUCAUAGAGGGUGAGAAUCCCGUAUUUGACCAUUACUUUCAACUUUGUGAUACACUUUCAAAGAGUCGGAUUGUUUGGGAAUGCAGUCCAAAAUGGGUGGUAAAUUUCAUCUAAAGCUAAAUAUUGGCGAGAGACCGAUAGCGAACAAGUACCGUGAGGGAAAGAUGAAAAGAACUUUGAAAAGAGAGUUAAACAGUACGUGAAAUUGUCAAAAGGGAAGCGUUUGACACCAGUGUCGUUUUUCUGAAAAUCAAUUAAAGAACUGUUUAUGCUAAGCUGUUUAGGACUUUAUCAGCUAAUCUGUUUAGUUUUGAGCUUUUCUUUAAUGCACUUUUCAGUUAACAAGUCAACAUCAAUUUCUUUUGCUGUAAAAAAGCUUGAGGAAGGUGGCUUGAGAUUCGUCUUAAGUGUUUAUAGCCUCUUGCCUAUGCAGUCGGAGAGAUUGAGGUCUGCAGCGUAGAUCCUUCGGGGCUAAAUGCAUUUGUGCUAAGUUAUAACAUUUUAUAGACAACUUGUUGACUAUGAUUUGUCUUGUAGCUUACUCGCUUAUGUUAUUUUACCUACGCUUAGGAUGUUGAUAGUCACAGCGUGUACUCGACUCUAUACAUGACUCUGUGCAUAUCAAUAAGCGGAGGAAAAGGGUACCUACGCUUAGGAUGUUGAUAGUCACAGCGUGUAC